GGAGAGGGAGCCUGAGAAACGGCUACCACUUCUAAGGAAGGCAGCAGGCGCGUAAAUUACCCAAUCCUGAUUCAGGGAGGUAGUGACAAGAAAUAACAACCUGGAAGACUUUGUCUUUACAGGAUUGUAGUGAGAACAAUCUAAAAACUUUAUCGAGAACCAUUGGAGGGCAAGUCUGGUGCCAGCAGCCGCGGUAAUUCCAGCUCCAAUAGCGUAUAUUAAAGUUGUUGCAGUUAAAAAGCUCGUAGUUGAACUUCUGUACAUUCCCGGUGCCGGCUCUUGUCGAACCGUGGAGUGUGCAUCCGCUUACAAACUCAGCCCGGUCUUCAUUGGUCGACUGAGGGAGUAGGCCCUUUACUUUGAAAAAAUUAGAGUGUUUCAAGCAGGCAAUGGCUCGAAUACAUUAGCAUGGAAUAAUGGAAUAGGACUGAGGUCCAUUUGGUUGGUUAUUGGACUUUAGUAAUGAUUAACAGGGACAGUUGGGGGCAUUAGUACUUAACAGUCAGAGGUGAAAUUCUUGGAUUUGUUAAAGACUAACUUAUGCGAAAGCAUUUGCCAAGGAUGUU
This 566-nucleotide ribosomal RNA is filed under the name Metanophrys sinensis. RNAcentral's name for it is "SSU rRNA". It matches the Rfam family "Eukaryotic small subunit ribosomal RNA", at positions 385 to 968 of the family's 1831-position model. Lineage: Eukaryota; Ciliophora; Oligohymenophorea; Philasterida; Orchitophryidae. The record is from RNAcentral.